RNAcentral lists this ribosomal RNA (301 nucleotides) under uncultured bacterium. Its description in RNAcentral is "partial 16S ribosomal RNA". It matches the Rfam family "Bacterial small subunit ribosomal RNA", at positions 509 to 807 of the family's 1533-position model. The record is from RNAcentral.
CAGUCGCCGCGGGAAUACGGAGGGUGCAAGCGUUAAUCGGAAUUACUGGGCGUAAAGCGCACGCAGGCGGUCUGUCAAGUCAGAUGUGAAAUCCCCGGGCUUAACCUGGGAACUGCAUUUGAAACUGGCAGACUGGAGUCUUGUAGAGGGGGGUAGAAUUCCAGGUGUAGCGGUGAAAUGCGUAGAGAUCUGGAGGAAUACCGGUGGCGAAGGCGGCCCCCUGGACAAAGACUGACGCUCAGGUGCGAAAGCGUGGGGAGCAAACAGGAUUAGAUACCCCGGUAGUCCCUGUCUCUUAUAC